GUGGGGAAUCUUGCGCAAUGGGGGGAACCCUGACGCAGCGACGCCGCGAGCGGGACGGAGGCCUUCGGGUCGUAAACCGCUAUCAGCAGGGAAGAGUCAAGACUGUACUUGCAGAAGAAGCCCCGGCUAACUACGUGCCAGCAGCCGCGGUAAUACGUAGGGGGCGAGCGUUAUCCGGAUUCAUUGGGCGUAAAGCGCGCGUAGGCGGCCCGGCAGGCCGGGGGUCGAAGCGGGGGGCUCAACCCCCCGAAGCCCCCGGAACCUCCGCGGCUUGGGUCCGGUAGGGGAGGGUGGAACACCCGGUGUAGCGGUGGAAUGCGCAGAUAUCGGGUGGAACACCGGUGGCGAAGGCGGCCCUCUGGGCCGAGACCGACGGUGAGGCGCGAAAGCUGGGGGAGCGAAAAAGGAUUAGAUACCCUGGUAGUCCCAGCCGUAAACGAACAAAAAAGGAGGUGUGGGGGGACGAUCUCUCCGUGCCGCAGCCAAAACACUAAGAAUCCCGCCCGGGGAGUAGGACCGCAAGGAUAAAAAUCAAAGGAAUUGACGGGGGGCCGCACAAGCAGCAGAGCAUGUGGCUUAAUUUGAAGCAACGCGAAGAACCUUACCAGGGCUUGACAUAUGGGUGAAGCGGGGGGGACCCCGUGGCCGAGAGGAGCCCAUACAGGUGGUGCAUGGCUGUCGUCAGCUCGUGUCGUGAGAUGUUGGGUUAAGUCCCGCAACGAGCGCAACCCCCGCCGCGUGUUGCCAUCGGGUGAUGCCGGGAACUCACGCGGGACCGCCGCCGUCAAGGCGGAGGAGGGGGGGGAGGACGUCAAGUCAUCAUGCCCCUUAUGCCCUGGGCUGCACACGUGCUACAAUGGCCGGUACAGAGGGAUGCCACCCCGCGAGGGGGAGCGGAUCCCGGAAAGCCGGCCCCAGUUCGGAUUGGGGGGUGCAACCCGCCCCCACGAAGUCGGAGUUGCUAGUAAUCGCGGAUCAGCAUGCCGCGGUGAAAAAGGUCCCGGGCCUUGC
Molecule: ribosomal RNA, 1011 nt
Filed under: uncultured bacterium
Lineage: Bacteria
Description: partial 16S ribosomal RNA
Rfam family: Bacterial small subunit ribosomal RNA
Source: RNAcentral